This is an RNA transcript of Acomys russatus (golden spiny mouse), 1864 nucleotides long. It is a transcript of the gene named vesicle associated membrane protein 4, with no coding region annotated. The transcript is spliced from 9 exons. NCBI's taxonomy places the organism in Eukaryota, Metazoa, Chordata, Mammalia, Rodentia, Muridae. The record is from RefSeq and is a predicted model, not a curated record.
GGCUUCGGAGAAAGCGCGCAAACUCCACUGUGUUGAGAAUGACCAAGGGUCGGGGCGAAUCCUUACACGUAACAGGUUUUGCGUGUACGAUUCCCGGUCACGAUUUGGCGUGAAACUGUCACCAGCCAAGACUGCAGAUGAGAAAUGAGGAAGAAGAACCGGAAAGGGAAUGGAGGCUGAGAAAAGGAAAUCCCAGCCAGAUCGGAGCUUUUAGUGAAGGGAAAUACACCGAGAUUGUUUUUGUAAAGUAAAAAAGCCAACAUAGAUUAAACAACAGGCGGUGAAUACUUAUUCUUUUGGGAAAUUGAAGAGUAUUUGUGAGUGGAAAGUAUGCCUCCCAAGUUCAAGCGCCACCUUAAUGAUGAUGAUGUCACUGGGUCUGUGAAAAGUGAAAGGAGAAAUCUUUUGGAAGAUGAUUCAGAUGAAGAAGAGGACUUUUUCCUACGGGGACCAUCUGGACCACGAUUUGGACCUAGAAAUGAUAAAAUUAAGCAUGUUCAGAAUCAGGUGGAUGAAGUUAUUGAUGUAAUGCAAGAAAAUAUUACAAAGGUAAUUGAAAGAGGAGAGAGACUGGAUGAGCUACAGGACAAAUCAGAGAGCUUAUCGGAUAAUGCAACCGCUUUCAGCAACAGAUCCAAACAGCUUCGAAGGCAAAUGUGGUGGCGUGGAUGCAAAAUAAAAGCCAUCAUGGCUUUGGCUGCAGCCAUCCUUUUGCUAAUGAUUAUCAUUCUUAUAGUUGUGAAAUACCGUACUUGAUUUGAUGACAGAGAUCCUCAUUAAACAAGAUCUGGGACGAUAAUGUUUAAAGAUUGCUGCAUAAUUUAAACGAAACCUAUGUAUAUAAUUUUCAAACUUUCUUUUUCAAGAAACUAAAAGCUCAGAUCAUCCUGCACUUGAAAAAAUGAAGUUUUACCAUCAUCAAAACUAUCAUUAUUUAACAGCAAUGAAGAUCAACAGAAAAAUUCAAGUAGCUUUGCUAACGUUAGUUGAUGCCCAGUGAAAUCAGGUCACUGCUCCAUGCCUCAAGCUCCCUUGUUGUCUGUGUGUUAACAGGAGCCUCUUCCCUCAGCAGCUUGUGAUGAGGGGGCCCCUCCUCCAUCAUAACCCCGUGGUACCUGUGGUCUUUUGAUUCCUUGGUUCUCACAAAACUCACUGGAAAUUGUCCCAAACGUUUAUAAACUGGGAAACUUACAGAUUAAAGGAAGGUCCAGUAUUGAUGACGGAACAUUGUUUAAAAUGGAGAUGUAACACACAUCAGGUACAGAGGUGCCUGUGGCAGUGUGCCUGUAGACUAUCAUGACAGUUCUUUCCUGGGUUCUGGGUUAGAAAGUAAUGUUAGCAUUUUGAUUGCAGAAAUCGACACCUUUCUGUUCUGUCCAGCGUGUGGCUACCCUGUAAAUGUGUACACAUGCACAGGGUGAGGAUCAGACGUGAAGAGUGUGACAUCUCUCCUUGCAACUUACACCUGUUCUGUGUCAGCACUGUAGCCCAGACAGACUUGUAUUUACAUCUUGUAUAUAUGUUAUGGUUAAAAAGUAUGCAAGAAGUUUUUUCAAUGUUGAAAACAAAUGUCAGAUGUUCUUAGCUGUACUGAGUCAGUGUUUCCUAAAUUGGGACUGUACUAUUAAUCAAAUUUUGUGUUUUCACAUAGGAAUAUUAUUGGAGUCAGUUUUACUUUUCUGUGAGAGGUAAUAAGAAUGUGAGUCAAUCUAAACCCAUUUUUGGGUGGGAAGGCAGUUGCCAAAAAAUAGUGUAAAGACAAUGGCUCAGAAGGAGCAGAAAGGGGCCAUCUUAGUCCAUACAAAUGCCGCCCUUCCUCAGACUGACAGAGUCUGAGCUUAUUUUGGGGGUCUUCGUUGUUUUG